CAGCGCAUAAAUCCACCUACCAAUCUAUCUAUAAAAAUCAAGCGAAUUAAGGUAUACUUCACCAAGAGGCAGCAGGUCGAUCCGGGACCCUGUGCCCCACUGCGCAACAUACGAACACUGAAUAUGGGCGGCAACAUUGAGCAACGUCCCUGGACGCCAACGGUGCGUACGGGCAGGAUUGCCGCAGAGACGGCCACACCGGGACCAGCCAUUGUGCAGCUACCCACACUGAUUGGCAGCAAAGUUCCGGACUCCAAGAAGAAGGGCGCUCCCUCGUACUCAUUUGGCCAUAAGUUGGGCAGUAAGUACGAGACCUUUGGCCCCGGACCGGCGCAAUAUAAUGUGACGGGCUUGCGGGCCAAAGGCAAGGAUUAUCCACGUGCAGCCACCCUGCAGAGUCGUCCCAAGGAGCUGUCACGCUUCUCGAAUCCCGGACCCGGUGAAUACAACGUACAGCCAGCUGCCAAGGCAGUGAUCGAUGCCACGCCCAUGUACACGUUUGGCCAGAAGCCGCCCGAUGCCAAAUUUAGCCUGAUUCCAGGUCCCAACCAUUAUCAAGUGGUGCCGCUUGAUGUGACCAAGCGGCGUGCACCGCGCUAUUCCUUUCGCAUUAAGGUUAACGUUUACAUUGUUAACAAUCCAGCUCCGAAUAGUUAUUGCCCUGAAAGGGUCACGCAAUCAAAAAAGAAUGCGCCACGCUACACAUUCGGUAGACGAACUAAAAUCCAACACGAUCAGUCUACACCAGCUCCUGGCGCCUAUUGCCCCGAAAAAGUUAAUCCCAGCAGGACGCCAGAGUUUAGUUUCGGCAUCAAGCACCACGAACAGAAGCCCGACUAUACGCCAGCGCCAGGCAGCUACAAGCCCGAACAUUUUGGCCAAGAGCACAUGCCCUCGUACAGUUUUGGCCUGAAGACCAAGCACACUCUGGUCAGUGAUACACCAGCACCCGGUGCGUACAGUCCCGAAAAGUCAAAGCUGCACAGUACACCCGCUUACACGAUCACUGGCAAGGCCACGCACGACGUAGUCGAUGCCACACCCGCACCCGGCGCAUACGAACCCGAGAAGUGCGUGCUGAACAAGACGCCAGCCUACACCUUUGGGCAUCGCGUGAAUCUGGCCAAGGUCAGCGAUACACCAGCACCGGGCACCUAUCAGCCGGAGAAGGUGCGUCUGGAUCACACGCCCUCAUACACGCUGUCGGGGCGACAUGAGCUCAAGUGUACGAGCGAGACCCCAGCGCCCGGUUCGUAUGCACCGGAGAAAUAUCGCGGCGAUCGUACGCCGGCCUUCACCUUCGGCGGUAAGCACGAACAGAAGCUCGACAGCUCCACGCCGGCACCAGGCGACUAUUGUCCCGAAAAAGUACGGCACGAUCACAAUCCAGCUUACUCAUUCGCCGGUCGCCACGACCCACACAAGACAAGCGACACACCCGCCCCGGGGGCCUACGAAACGGAAAAGGUUAGGCAGGAUCACAAUCCCUCGUUUUCUUUUGCCGGUCGCCAUCAUCUACAUAAACCAAGUGAUACACCUGCUCCUGGGGCUUACUCUCCGGAAAAAAAUAGGCAAGAUCACAACCCCUCCUUUUCGAUGGCAGGAAAACACAUUCAAAAGAUUUCCAAUGGUACACCAGCUCCUGGUGAUUACUGUCCUGAGAAGUGUCUUACUGACAACGCUCCUUCGUAUAGUUUUGGAGGCAGAAAUGAUCCUAAGGUAGAGAAUAACACCCCUGCGCCUGGUGACUACCAUCCCGAAAACUGUAGACAAGAUCAUAAUCCUUCCUACUCCUUUUCUGGUCGUCACGAUCUAAAUAAAGCAAGUGAUACACCUGCUCCCGGAGCUUACUCUCCGGAAAAAAAUAGGCAAGAUCACAACCCCUCCUUUUCGAUGGCAGGAAAACACAUUCAAAAGAUUGCCAACGGUACACCAGCUCCUGGUGAUUACUGUCCUGAGAAGUGUCUUACUGACAACGCUCCUUCGUAUAGUUUUGGAGGCAGAAAUGAUCCUAAGGUAGAGAAUAACACCCCUGCGCCUGGUGACUACCAUCCCGAAAACUGUAGACAAGAUCAUAAUCCUUCCUACUCCUUUGCUGGUCGUCACGAUCAUUCCAAGCCCAGUGAUACACCCGCCCCUGGAGCUUACUCUCCGGAAAAAAAUAGGCAAGAUCACAACCCCUCCUAUUCGAUGGCAGGAAAACAUAUCCAAAAGAUCUCCAGCGACACCCCAGCUCCUGGUGACUAUUGUCCUGAGAAGUGUCUUACUGACAACGCUCCUUCGUACAGUUUUGGGGGAAGGAAUGAUCCUAAAGUAGAGAAUAACACUCCAGCCCCUGGCGACUACCAUCCCGAAAACUGUAGACAAGAUCAUAAUCCUUCCUACUCCUUUUCUGGUCGUCACGAUCUAAAUAAAGCAAGUGAUACACCCGCCCCUGGAGCUUACUCUCCGGAAAAAAAUAGGCAAGAUCACAACCCCUCCUUUUCUAUGGCAGGAAAACACAUUCAAAAGAUUGCCAACGGUACACCAGCUCCUGGUGAUUACUGUCCUGAGAAGUGUCUUACUGACAACGCUCCUUCGUAUAGUUUUGGAGGCAGAAAUGAUCCUAAGGUAGAGAAUAACACCCCUGCGCCUGGUGACUACCAUCCCGAAAACUGUAGACAAGAUCAUAAUCCUUCCUACUCCUUUGCUGGUCGUCACGAUCAUUCCAAGCCCAGUGAUACACCCGCCCCUGGAGCUUACUCUCCGGAAAAAAAUAGGCAAGAUCACAACCCCUCCUAUUCGAUGGCAGGAAAACAUAUCCAAAAGAUCUCCAGCGACACCCCAGCUCCUGGUGACUAUUGUCCUGAGAAGUGUCUUACUGACAACGCUCCUUCGUACAGUUUUGGGGGAAGGAAUGAUCCUAAAGUAGAGAAUAACACUCCAGCCCCUGGCGACUACCAUCCCGAAAACUGUAGACAAGAUCACAAUCCUGCCUUCUCCUUCGCUGGUCGUCACGAUCUUCUGAAGGCCAGCGAAACACCCGCUCCUGGAGCCUACUAUCCGGAGAGGGUGCGGCUAGAUCACAAUCCAUCGUACACGUUUGAUGGCAAACACGAGCCGCAUGCCACGUCCGAGACCCCGGCUCCCGGCGACUACAGCCCUGAAAAGGUACGAUUGGACCACACACCUGCUUACAGCUUUGGCGGCAAAUACGACCCCAAGGCGGCGAAUCAUCAUCCUGCGCCAUGCGACUACGCCCCCGAGAGAGUACGCCUCGACCAUACACCCGCCUACACAAUUGCAGGUCGUCCGACCCAAGAGCAUGUGACACACACGCCGGCGCCGUGCGACUACUUUCCGGAACACUGUCAGCCGUACAGCACGCCGGCCUUUACCUUUGGCAUGAAGCUGACACAGGAGCGCAUCAGCGAUACACCAGCACCCUCUGCCUACGAGCCGGAGAAGCACAACACACAGCACGCACCAGCGUACACCUUUGGCUCGAGGUCCGAGACCAAGGUAUCCAGCGAUGCACCAGCCCCGGGCACCUAUCACCCCGAGCACGACCGAUUCGACAGUUCGCCUUCGUAUAGCUUUGGCCAGAAGACGCUGGUCAUGCCAUCCCUGCCAGAACAUAGAGGCCCCUACAUUGAAGAUCGCAUUCUGCAAAGACGCGAACGACGCUUGGCAAGUCCCGGUAAGAUAAGUCUAAGGUUUAAGCCACAUCCAUAUUCACGUCCAUAUAUCCAUAUCAAACAUCAAAAUAUGGCAAGGAAUGCGUCUGAUUUCACGCUCUAACCAGAUCUAAUGGGGCGUGCAAUCCACUUGGAAAUGGAUUGUAUUAACUCCAACAGGUCUUAGUAUCGCAAGGUUUUCGCAAUGAGGCUGUUGCUGCUCUGCGUAGUCCUUUGCUGGCUCUUUGCCCACACCGAACACAAAAGGAACUAUGGUCGGAAUCUUGCCUGCUUGACAAACAACAGAUACAAGCACGAGAGUUCUUGUCCCGGACCACGUCGCAUCUUCUAUGCCUUCCAUCGCAUCAUCUUCAAUUGCACGAAAGUGUUUACGAAAUGCCCAAAGAUUCACAGGCACAACGAGUACCCAACCAAGAAGUUGUGCCAGGAUGAUUGCUACCAUCACAUGAAAAUACCUACGACAAAGAAACCAGCCAAUAGCACGGGCAAUAGCACAACUACCAAAGCACCAGAUGGUGACAAAAAGGGUGGUAAAGGUGACAAAGAUGGUAAAACUAAAUCGGGAGGUGAUGAUCUUGGCAGUGGUGAGCAAUUUAGGCGUGCGAAUCCCUACAUAUUUGUGGGUCGCCGAGGUGCUGGCACAAAUCACAACCGACAGUCGGUACGUGCCCUAAGUAACAUAACUCAAAGGCGUGGAAGGAGAUCUAAACGGUUUCAUUAGUUUGAUGUAUGAAAUGAAAUGUUUGCAAUGGAAAAAGAAAUUUAAUAGAAUGGAAAUUCAGAUGGAAUUAGCUAAGGAUUUCCAAGCAGCCUAGAAUUAAACUAGAGACACUUUUCUUCUAGAGUUUCUACCCAAACCUAAUUGCAAAUAAAUUUGUCGUAGCCAAUCGAAUUACAUGCCAACUCCCAGUACCCCACGGAAAAGCCACAGUUUGCCAUAGUUCAUGCUCGUAGCAGCAAAGAUGUGGGCCCCUCAAAUUCUCGUGUGUCUGCUUCUCUUGUGGGUGAACACCGCUCCUGGGCGCUCCUCCGAUCGCUGCAUGAAAGCGAAUCAGGGCAAGCGACUGACCUGCAAGGGUAGACCUCAACUCACCUUCUAUUACGAUGCGGUGGGCAAGAAGUGCGCCUCCAAGAGAAGCAAAUGCCUUUCCAGCCCAGUGGCCAAUAUGUUUGCCACUAGGCAGUUGUGUCUGGCCGAGUGCCAGCAUCAUAUUCUGCGAGAUUGAGACGCAUUCGCUGCACUAGGGACACCACCUCAUUCACUUCACUAGAAUUAAAGCACACGAUUUGUUUGUA
This is an RNA transcript of Drosophila obscura, 4973 nucleotides long. It is a transcript of the gene named mucin-1, with no coding region annotated. The transcript is spliced from 14 exons. Lineage: Eukaryota; Metazoa; Arthropoda; Insecta; Diptera; Drosophilidae. The record is from RefSeq and is a predicted model, not a curated record.